This 253-nucleotide ribosomal RNA is filed under the name uncultured bacterium. RNAcentral describes it as "partial 16S ribosomal RNA". It matches the Rfam family "Bacterial small subunit ribosomal RNA", at positions 524 to 776 of the family's 1533-position model. RNAcentral also lists the same sequence under 1 other name. The record is from RNAcentral.
UACGAAGGGUGCAAACGUUGCUCGGAAUUAUUGGGCGUAAAGCGCACGUAGGCGGCCCAGCAAGUCGGAAGUGAAAUCCCACGGCUCAACCAUGGAAGUGCUUUCGAAACUGCUAGGCUUGAGUACAAAAGAGGAUCGCGGAAUUCCCGGUGUAGAGGUGAAAUUCGUAGAUAUCGGGAGGAACACCAGUGGCGAAGGCGGCGAUCUGGGUUGAUACUGACGCUGAGGUGCGAAAGCGUGGGGAGCAAACAGG